This 72-nucleotide transfer RNA is filed under the name Stegodyphus mimosarum. It matches the Rfam family "tRNA". From Rfam's summary of the family: Transfer RNA (tRNA) molecules are approximately 80 nucleotides in length. Their secondary structure includes four short double-helical elements and three loops (D, anti-codon, and T loops). The record is from Rfam by way of RNAcentral. Lineage: Eukaryota; Metazoa; Arthropoda; Arachnida; Araneae; Eresidae.
UCCCACGUAGUCUAGUGGUUAAGAUACCUGGCUCUCACCCAGGAGGCCUGCGUUCGCUCCCCGGAGUGGGUA